GACGAACGCUGGCGGCGUGCUUAACACAUGCAAGUCGAACGGAAAGGCCCUGCUUUUGUGGGGUGCUCGAGUGGCGAACGGGUGAGUAACACAUGAGUAACCUGCCCUUGACUUUGGGAUAACUUCAGGAAACUGGGGCUAAUACCGGAUAGGAGCUCCUGCUGCAUGGUGGGGGUUGGAAAGUUUCGGCGGUUGGGGAUGGACUCGCGGCUUAUCAGCUUGUUGGUGGGGUAGUGGCUUACCAAGGCUUUGACGGGUAGCCGGCCUGAGAGGGUGACCGGCCACAUUGGGACUGAGAUACGGCCCAGACUCCUACGGGAGGCAGCAGUGGGGAAUAUUGCACAAUGGGCGGAAGCCUGAUGCAGCAACGCCGCGUGCGGGAUGACGGCCUUCGGGUUGUAAACCGCUUUCGCCGGUGACGAAGCGUGAGUGACGGUAAUGGGUAAAGAAGCACCGGCUAACUACGUG
This 468-nucleotide ribosomal RNA is filed under the name uncultured bacterium. RNAcentral describes it as "partial 16S ribosomal RNA". It matches the Rfam family "Bacterial small subunit ribosomal RNA", at positions 28 to 507 of the family's 1533-position model. The record is from RNAcentral.